AUAAAAAAAUAUAUAAAAUAAAAGAAAAUGUAAAUAAAAUAUCGGAGAAACUCCUGUCCGUCAUCUAUUGGUGUGAGGAUAUAUUCCAUUUAAUAUUGAAGAAGAUGUCCAACAAUUUUUUACAUACGUUGAACGUAUUGACCCUCGGCAGCUGCAAAUGUAAGAUCAGCCCGGCCGAACUCACAGUUUUUUUACUUGUUGAUAUUGAUAAGUUGUUGUGGCACCGAUCCUCUUCAACAGCAAUAUAACCCUAGUAAGACACAUUAUUUAACGGUGUUUAUCGGAGUUCGUAACAGGUUCCAUCUUCGGUUGCAAAAUACUUGUCUAUCCAGAUCCACGUUUUCGAAUAGCAGCCAUAUAACAGAACGGUCAACAAAAUUUGGUGAAUGGAUGAUAUCAGGCACAUUUGUCAACGGUAUUGUUCAUGGCAAUAGGUCCCAUAGUCUCUGGUAAAUUUUUCGUAUAUCCCACGUUGUUAUAUAUUGAUAUACAUUCCAAAGACCUUCGCUAGAUGAUGUCAGAUAUUGCCCAAAAAUACUUUUGGCAAAUUUUGUAGAGAUCUGUUCAGAUUUGGAUAUAGCUCCUACAUAAAUCUGUAGUUAAAUAGA
Long non-coding RNA from Musca domestica (house fly), 608 nucleotides. RefSeq lists it as uncharacterized. NCBI's taxonomy places the organism in Eukaryota, Metazoa, Arthropoda, Insecta, Diptera, Muscidae. The record is from RefSeq and is a predicted model, not a curated record. The transcript is spliced from 3 exons.